UGGGAACGUACCUUUUGGUUCGGAACAACCCAGGGAAACUUGGGCUAAUACCGGAUAAGCCCUUACGGGGAAAGAUUUAUCGCCAAAAGAUCGGCCCGCGUCUGAUUAGCUAGUUGGUGGGGCAAUGGCCCACCAAGGCUACGAUCAGUAGCUGGUCUGAGAGGAUGAUCAGCCACAUUGGGACUGAGACACGGCCCAAACUCCUACGGGAGGCAG
RNAcentral lists this ribosomal RNA (216 nucleotides) under uncultured bacterium. Its description in RNAcentral is "partial 16S ribosomal RNA". It matches the Rfam family "Bacterial small subunit ribosomal RNA", at positions 118 to 351 of the family's 1533-position model. The record is from RNAcentral.